RNAcentral lists this ribosomal RNA (653 nucleotides) under uncultured bacterium. Its description in RNAcentral is "bacterial SSU rRNA". It matches the Rfam family "Bacterial small subunit ribosomal RNA", at positions 202 to 842 of the family's 1533-position model. The record is from RNAcentral.
AAAAGAUGGUUCUGCUAUCACUCUUGGAUGGACCUGCGGUGCAUUAGCUAGUUGGUAAGGUAACGGCUUACCAAGGCAAUGAUGCAUAGCCGAGUUGAGAGACUGAUCGGCCACAUUGGGACUGAGACACGGCCCAAACUCCUACGGGAGGCAGCAGUAGGGAAUCUUCCACAAUGGACGCAAGUCUGAUGGAGCAACGCCGCGUGAGUGAAGAAGGGUUUCGGCUCGUAAAGCUCUGUUGGUAGUGAAGAAAGAUAGAGGUAGUAACUGGCCUUUAUUUGACGGUAAUUACCUAGAAAGUCACGGCUAACUACGUGCCAGCAGCCGCGGUAAUACGUAGGUGGCAAGCGUUGUCCGGAUUUAUUGGGCGUAAAGCGAGUGCAGGCGGUUCAAUAAGUCUGAUGUGAAAGCCUUCGGCUCAACCGGAGAAUUGCAUCAGAAACUGUUGAACUUGAGUGCAGAAGAGGAGAGUGGAACUCCAUGUGUAGCAGUGGAAUGCGUAGAUAUAUGGAAGAACACCAGUGGCGAAGGCGGCUCUCUGGUCUGCAACUGACGCUGAGGCUCGAAAGCAUGGGUAGCGAACAGGAUUAGAUACCCUGGUAGUCCAUGCCGUAAACGAUGAGUGCUAAGUGUUGGGAGGUUUCCGCCUCUCA